Molecule: long non-coding RNA, 210 nt
Organism: Budorcas taxicolor (takin)
Lineage: Eukaryota; Metazoa; Chordata; Mammalia; Artiodactyla; Bovidae
Exons: 3
Source: RefSeq, a predicted model, not a curated record
AUGACCCUGAUGGUGUUUCCAGUUUUGAUAAAGAGUUCUAUUGCAGUUAUUGAUUAACUGAACAAAUUCAGUUGAUAAUUAUAGUGACCUGGUUUCAAGCAGUAAUAUCUUCCAUUGGAAAUAUGUGAUUUCAUCAGCUUCUUACAUUCCAGGGGAGAAAAGCAUGUAGAGUCCAUGAAGCACAGGAAAAUAAAACUUCCUACUCAUACC